RNAcentral lists this ribosomal RNA (1462 nucleotides) under Corynebacterium striatum. RNAcentral describes it as "partial 23S ribosomal RNA". It matches the Rfam family "Bacterial large subunit ribosomal RNA", at positions 1 to 1426 of the family's 2925-position model. The record is from RNAcentral. Lineage: Bacteria; Bacillati; Actinomycetota; Actinomycetes; Mycobacteriales; Corynebacteriaceae.
UGUUCGUUAUUUAGGGCGCAUGGUGGAUGCCUUGGCAUGCUGAGCCGAUGAAGGACGUGAAAGGCUGCGUUAAGCCUCGGGGAGUUGUCAAUUGAGCGUUGAUCCGAGGAUGUCCGAAUGGGGAAACCUGGCACCUGUUAUGGGGUGUUACCCUUCAGUGAAUUCAUAGCUGUUGUGGGGGUUACGCGGGGAAGUGAAACAUCUCAGUACCCGUAGGAAGAGAAAAUAAUAAUGAUUCUGCUAGUAGUGGCGAACGAACGUGGAUGAGGCUAAACCGUGUGCAUGUGAUACCUGGUAGGGGUUGUGUGUGCGGUGUUGUGGGCCCUGAUGAGGAUGGCUACUGACGUCCUGCCCGCGCAUUGUUGUUAGGUGAAGUGGUGUGGAAACGCCUGCCGUAGAAGGUGAUAGUCCUGUAGCUGAAGAUGAUGGUGUGUGGGUUGUUGGGUUGCCCGAGUAGCAGCGGGCUCGUGGAAUCUGCUGUGAAUCUGCCGGGACCACCCGGUAAGCCUAAAUACUCAGUGUGACCGAUAGUGGAUAGUACCGUGAGGGAAUGGUGAAAAGUACCCCGGGAGGGGAGUGAAAUAGUUCCUGAAACCAUGUGCUUACAAUCCGUCAGAGCACUUUUUGUGUGUGAUGGCGUGCCUUUUGAAGAAUGAGCCUGCGAGUCAGCGGCAUGUCGCGAGGUUAACCCGUGUGGGGUAGCCGUAGGGAAACCGAAUCCUAAUGGGGUGUCAAGUGGCAUGUCCUGGACCCGAAGCGGGGUGAUCUACCCAUGGCCAGUGUGAAGCAGCAGUAAGAUGCUGUGGAGGCGCGAACCCACGUAGGUUGAAAACUGCGGGGAUGAGCUGUGGGUAGGGGUGAAAGGCCAAUCAAACUCCGUGAUAGCUGGUUCUCCCCGAAAUGCAUUUAGGUGCAGCGUCGCAUUAGCUUGGUGGAGGUAGAGCUACUGGUUGGUUGAGCGGGACUACAAUCUUAGCAAUGUCAGCCAAACUCCGAAUGCCAUUAAUGUGUUGUGCGGCAGUGAGACUGUGGGGGAUAAGCUUCAUAGUCGAGAGGGAAACAGCCCAGAUCGCCGGUUAAGGCCCCUAAGGGUGUGCUAAGUGGAAAAGGAUGUGGGAUCGCGAAGACAGCCAGGAGGUUGGCUUAGAAGCAGCCAUCCUUGAAAGAGUGCGUAAUAGCUCACUGGUCGAGUGGUUCUGCGCCGACAAUGUAGUGGGGCUCAAGCACACCGCCGAAGCCGCGGCAAUAAUAUUUUGUUAUUGGGUAGGGGAGCGUCGUGCACGUGUUGAAGCGUUACCGUGAGGAGGCGUGGAGUGUGUGCGAGUGAGAAUGCAGGCAUGAGUAACGAAUUGGAAGGUGAGAAUCCUUCCCGCCGGAUGACUAAGGGUUCCUGGGUCAAGUUCGUCUUCCCAGGGUGAGUCGGGACCUAAGGCGAGGCCGACAGGCGUAGUCGAUGGAUAAC